AUGAACGCUGGCGGCGUGCAUAAUACAUGCAAGUCGAGCGAACGGACGAGAAGCUUGCUUCUCUGAUGUUAGCGGCGGACGGGUGAGUAACACGUGGAGAACCUACCUAUAAGACUGGGAUAACUUCGGGAAACCGGAGCUAAUACCGGAUAAUAUUUUGAACCGCAUGGUUCAAAAGUGAAAGACGGUCUUGCUGUCACUUAUAGAUGGAUCCGCGCUGCAUUAGCUAGUUGGUAAGGUAACGGCUUACCAAGGCAACGAUGCAUAGCCGACCUGAGAGGGUGAACGGCCACACUGGAACUGAGACACGGUCCAGACUCCUACGGGAGGCAGCAGUAGGGAAUCUUCCGCAAUGGGCGAAAGCCUGACGGAGCAACGCCGCGUGAGUGAUGAAGGUCUUCGGAUCGUAAAACUCUGUUAUUAGGGAAGAACAUAUGUGUAAGUAACUGUGCACAUCUUGACGGUACCUAAUCAGAAAGCCACGGCUAACUACGUA
RNAcentral lists this ribosomal RNA (496 nucleotides) under uncultured bacterium. RNAcentral's name for it is "partial 16S ribosomal RNA". It matches the Rfam family "Bacterial small subunit ribosomal RNA", at positions 29 to 507 of the family's 1533-position model. The record is from RNAcentral.